Molecule: long non-coding RNA, 2847 nt
Filed under: Sus scrofa (pig)
Lineage: Eukaryota; Metazoa; Chordata; Mammalia; Artiodactyla; Suidae
Description: lncRNA (ENSSSCG00065067368.1)
Source: RNAcentral
UUUGCUUGCAGAAAUAGAACUGUAUUUCGAGGAAAUCAAUCAAUCUGCAGGAAACAAAAAUGGAAGUCGAGGUUUGGGAAGAGUUGUCACUUCCCCGACUCGAGUGGUGCGGGCCAGGGGCGGAGACUUGGGGCCGCGGAGAGGCCCUUUCUCCCACCUCAGCUCGUUCCCAGACUUCCAGAAGGGAGAAGUACCCUCCUCACCCCUCUUCUUCCCCACACCCGUCCUCGCUCGCCCGCCGGCCCCUUUCCGCACCUCCUUCUCCCCUCAAGUGAGAAAAGCCUAGUUCCCGAGCCGGUGUACGCGGUUGCUUUACCCCUCCCCGCUCCCACGCGGGUGCCCCCUCCAGCCAUCGCUACUGCCACCACCUCGGUUCCACUCAAUCGAUUUUUGCUGCAUGUCAACACUUAUUCCCGAAAAUGGCCCGCUGAUGAUGUGACCCAGUGUACCAGGACUAAGGCUUGGGGUGGUUUCCUUAGAAUUCCAAGACUCCUUCUACCAAUGCCUCCUCUGACCAGAAGCAGCAAAGUCUUUCUGCCUCCAUCAACAGUUUGCAGCGGCACCGGACCCCCUGCACGCAGUCCUGGGCUGGAUCCUUUAUCCUUGUCCCUCUGGGGAGAUGAGACCAAGAGCCGCUUCCACUGUCCCAGAGAAGACAGUGGAGCAGAUACGGACGGAAUGUGACUUGGAACCCCGGUCUUCAGCUCAAAGGACUAUUCUCAAGGAGCUAUGCUCAAGGAACUGCACCUAGAAAGCUUCAUCCACAUCUGAGCCUGGUUGAGAUGACAAGAUUCUAGCCUUUGAAAUGUUGCUGUAAUGGGUUGAAACUUUUGGUGGCUUUGAGGUGUGAGUAUCAUUUACCUGUGGGAGGGAGAUUAGUCAAUGAGAGAUAGAGGAUAGACUCCUGGGUCAACCUUCAAUAUGGUGCUCAAGUAAUUCUUGCUUCUUGGUAUUCACGCCCCUGUGUAGUCCUUCCUUCCCCACAUUGGCUUGUAUAAUCAAUAGCAUAUUAUGGAAAUGACAAUACGUGGUUCCUAAGACCAGGACAUAAAAGAUAAUUGCGGCUUCUGCCUUGCUCUCUCUUGGACAACUCACUCUUGAGGAAGUCAGAGAUCAUGUCAUUUCAUGAGGACACUCCAGCUGCCCUAAUGACAGAGCCAUGUGGUAAUGAUCUGAGCCAGCAUGAACUUGACUGCCAUGUAAGUGAGCCAUCCUAGAGGCAAAUCCUGGAGGCGGCUCCAGUCAAGCUUUCAGAGGACUGUAGAUAUAGCUGAGAUUUUACCCAUAACCUCGUAAGAGACACUAAACCAGGAUUACCCAGCUAAGCUGCCCUUAAAUUCCUAAGCCACAGAAACUGUGAAAGAUAAUAACUGUUUGUUGUUGUUUUCAGCCACUAGAUUUGGCGGUAAUUUUUUUUUUUUUUUUUUAUAAAGCAACGGACAACUAAAACAGUAAACUACAAUCUCAUUAUAAGGCAAAAGUUGAAAUGACUGCUUAAAAAUGUUAUGUUUUUUGACUGCAUCAAUUGAACAAAGGUUCCAUGUCAGAGAUGGUAAUAGUUCACUUCUAGACUUAUAACAAUUUAAGAUAUUGUAUGUAGUUUGAGUCAUAUACUUUGAAAGACACUGGCAAACACAAUGAGAGCACUAAGGACUAUCAGGAUAGCGAAGAUUUAACAAACUAUAACAUGAAGAGUACAUGAGAACACCUGGUGAAAAUCUGAGUAGACUUAGGGAUGACAUGACAUCUGUACAUGUGUUUAAAGCAUUAGCACAAGAAACAUGUAAUGGCAUAGCCUCUCUUCCUUCCAAGGGGAGAAACGAAGAAAAGGCUACAAGUUAUAUAACAGUAGAUUUUAAAUAACACAGAGAAGUAUUUUUUGAGGCUUCCAGUUAUCUAACAAAAGAAUGAUUUCUUCAUUGGAAGAGUUGAAACACAGGCUAGAUUAUCACCUAUAAAAAAUGUAGUACAGAAAAAUUCUGGACUAGGAUGUUGGAUAAACUUCGCAAAAUGUCACUAGGCUACUUUCCAAUCUGAUCUAAGAUAUAUUUAUUCAGUUACCUUCAAUAAACAGCAAAUUUCUAGGAACUCCCUUACACAAACCUUCAAAGUCUUGUAGAAGUUUCAUCAGACAACACAAUAGAUAUUUUGCAGAUCCUUGAAAUGUAAUUAGUAUUUUCCCAGUUACGUGCGCAUCUAAGAAACAAAGCAGAAAGACAACUACAGAAGGAAGAUACCACUUAUUCCCUUGUUCUGAAGAUUAAAAAAAAAAAAACCCAAACUUUUCUGGGGUAGAUGCAUUUUCUAAAGCUAAGAUUCCGAUUCAGUUUUGGCCUCAUUUUAAAGAAGAAUGUUGUGGAUUAGAUUGAUUUGUAAGAUUUAAAGACAACUUGCAUAUCAAAGUGCAAAGACGGUAAGCAUAAUUCAUUUUCUUCUAUGAGAGUCAUUUCAUUCUCUACUAUUUGAGAAACAUCUGCAGGAUCCAUUAUGCGCCACACAUGUAAGAGUUAAGCUUUCAAUCAACCAAGCAAAGUCAUAUAAUUGUUGAUGACAGAGUCAGGAAAAGAUCUGGGGAUUCUUAAUUCUUAAAGUAAUAUAUUUUUGAGGUCUCUUAAGAACUGUAUUAUUUUUUCUAGAUAAUAAAAAUAAAAAAACUACAAAGGAGGUACAAAUUAUUAUGUAUAAAGUAAAUAAGCUACAGGAAUAUAUUGUACGGCACAAGGAAUACAGCCAAUAUUUUAUAAUAAUCUUAAAUGGGGUAUAAUUAUAAAAAUAUUGAAUUACUAUGUUGUAUACCUGAAACUAACAUAAUAUUGUAAAUCAACUAUCCUUCAAUAAAACAAAAAG